AUACGGAGGAUGCAAGCGUUACUCGGAAUCACUGGGCGUAAAGGAUGCGUAGGCGGGUAAUCAAGUUGAGAGUGAAAUCCUAUGGCUUAACCAUAGAACUGCUCUCAAAACUGGUUACCUAGAAUAUGGAAGAGGCAGAUGGAAUUAGUGGUGUAGGGGUAAAAUCCGUACAGAUCACUAGGAAUACCGAUUGCGAAGGCGAUCUGCUGGGACAUUAUUGACGCUGAGGCAUGAAAGCGUGGGGAGCAAACAGGAUUAGAAACCCUAGUAGUCC
RNAcentral lists this ribosomal RNA (274 nucleotides) under uncultured bacterium. Its description in RNAcentral is "partial 16S ribosomal RNA". It matches the Rfam family "Bacterial small subunit ribosomal RNA", at positions 523 to 796 of the family's 1533-position model. The record is from RNAcentral.